CGACCUUCAGGUGGUCCCCGUCCUUCGAGUCGGGGCUCCCCUGGUGUUGGGGUUAUCUACAGCAGGGUUUCACCCCCCGUAGGCCCUUAAAGUCAGUGGCGGGCUCGCCGUAGCGUUCCAAGCGUAGUAGCUAUGUCUUUUCGCUUAGGGUCGCCGGCGGGUUGCUAGCCGUUAAACCCCCUAAUUUAUUACAAGG
Molecule: unclassified non-coding RNA, 196 nt
Filed under: uncultured Xylariales
Lineage: Eukaryota; Fungi; Ascomycota; Sordariomycetes; Xylariales
Description: sequence contains ITS2
Source: RNAcentral